Molecule: ribosomal RNA, 1463 nt
Filed under: uncultured bacterium
Lineage: Bacteria
Description: bacterial SSU rRNA
Rfam family: Bacterial small subunit ribosomal RNA
Source: RNAcentral
GAUCAUGGCUCAGGAUGAACGCUGGCGGCAUGCCUAAUACAUGCAAGUCGAACGGAGCCUUUCGGGGCUCAGUGGCGAACGGGUGAGUAACACGUAGGUAACCUGCCCAUGUGCCCGGGACAACAGCUGGAAACGGCCGCUAAAACCGGAUAGGUAUCGAGGAGGCAUCUCCUGGAUAUUAAAGGGGCUUUCGGGCCCUGAACAUGGAUGGACCUGCGGUGCAUUAGCUGGUUGGUGCGGUAACGGCGCACCAAGGCGACGAUGCAUAGCCGACCUGAGAGGGCGAACGGCCACAUUGGGACUGAGACACGGCCCAAACUCCUACGGGAGGCAGCAGUAGGGAAUUUUCGUCAAUGGGGGGAACCCUGAACGAGCAAUGCCGCGUGAGUGAAGACGGUCUUCGGAUUGUAAAGCUCUGUUGCGAGAGAAAAAGGACGGGGUCAGGAAAUGGGCCCCGGAUGAUGGUAUCUCGCCAGAAAGUCACGGCUAACUACGUGCCAGCAGCCGCGGUAAUACGUAGGUGGCGAGCGUUAUCCGGAAUGAUUGGGCGUAAAGGGUGCGUAGGCGGCACGAUCAGUCUGGAGUGAAAGGCUGCAGCUCAACUGCAGUAUGCUCUGGAAACUGUCGAGCUAGAGUACAGAAGAGGGCGAUGGAACUCCAUGUGUAGCGGUAAAAUGCGUAGAUAUAUGGAAGAACACCGGUGGCGAAGGCGGUCGCCUGGUCUGCUACUGACGCUGAAGCACGAAAGCGUGGGGAGCAAAUAGGAUUAGAUACCCUAGUAGUCCACGCCGUAAACGAUGAGAACUAAGUGUUGGGGGAAUAACUCAGUGCUGCAGUUAACGCAAUAAGUUCUCCGCCUGGGGAGUAUGCACGCAAGUGUGAAACUCAAAGGAAUUGACGGGGGCCCGCACAAGCGGUGGAGUAUGUGGUUUAAUUCGAAGCAACGCGAAGAACCUUACCAGGCCUUGACAUCCCCGGCGAAGGUAUAGAGAUAUACUGGAGGCUAACCGGGAGACAGGUGGUGCAUGGUUGUCGUCAGCUCGUGUCGUGAGAUGUUGGGUUAAGUCCCGCAACGAGCGCAACCCUUGUGAUAUGUUACCAGUAUUAAGUUAGGGACUCAUAUAUGACUGCCGGUGACAAACCGGAGGAAGGUGGGGGUGACGUCAAAUCAUCAUGCCCCUUAUGGCCUGGGCUACACACGUACUACAAUGGCGUAUACAAAGAGCAGCGAUACAGUGAUGUAGAGCGAAUCUCAUAAAGUACGUCCCAGUUCGGAUUGAAGUCUGCAACCCGACUUCAUGAAGUUGGAAUCGCUAGUAAUCGCGAAUCAGCAUGUCGCGGUGAAUACGUUCUCGGGCCUUGUACACACCGCCCGUCAAACCAUGGGAGUCAGUGAUACCCGAAGCCGGUGGCCCAACCUGUAUAGGAGGGAGCCGUCGAAGGUAGGACCGAUGACUGGGGUU